Molecule: ribosomal RNA, 255 nt
Filed under: uncultured bacterium
Lineage: Bacteria
Description: partial 16S ribosomal RNA
Rfam family: Bacterial small subunit ribosomal RNA
Source: RNAcentral
UACGGGGGGAGCAAGCGUUGUUCGGAUUUACUGGGCGUAAAGGGCGGCGUAGGCGGCCAGCGCAAGUCAGUUGUGAAAUCUCCGGGCUUAACUCGGAACGGUCAACUGAUACUGCGCGGCUAGAGUGCAGAAGGGGCAACUGGAAUUCUCGGUGUAGCGGUGAAAUGCGUAGAUAUCGAGAGGAACACCUGCGGCGAAGGCGGGUUGCUGGGCUGACACUGACGCUGAUGCGCGAAAGCCAGGGGAGCGAACGGG